AUACUUUUCUGCAUCUCUGUCAUCUUCACAAGGAGGACACACCACAACAACAUGCUCGUCCAAGGACAAUGAGGGGCAUAGGAAGCAGAGUCACCCCAGCUGACCCAGGAAGAAAAGCACUGGAGACAGAUCCAGAUGCACAAACUGAUUCGUGCUUUAAGGAAAGCUGACUCUAUUCCCAUAUUCAGGAUGGAUUCUCAUACCAAAGCUGAUUUCCAUAAUGUCAAUACUUCUCUUGUGAUGGGUUUCAAGCUCUCAAUGUGGUAUCACUGAUAAUGGACUUAGG
Molecule: long non-coding RNA, 286 nt
Organism: Suricata suricatta (meerkat)
Lineage: Eukaryota; Metazoa; Chordata; Mammalia; Carnivora; Herpestidae
Exons: 3
Source: RefSeq, a predicted model, not a curated record